Prinia subflava (tawny-flanked prinia) is the source of this 1040-nucleotide long non-coding RNA. RefSeq lists it as uncharacterized. The transcript has 3 exons. The record is from RefSeq and is a predicted model, not a curated record. NCBI's taxonomy places the organism in Eukaryota, Metazoa, Chordata, Aves, Passeriformes, Cisticolidae.
GACAGGGCGGGACCCCCACCCCGGGCAGGGCACCCUAAAACCGCCCAGGCCCCGCAGCGGAGCCUGGCACAGCUUCCUGGCCCCCUCACUCCGUGGGCCGACAGGCAGCCUCCCUUCACAGCCCUCCACCAGCCGCCCCCCAGCCAGGCUCUUAGGAUGCCACUUUUGAGAUAGAAUCAACAAAUUCGAGGUCAAAAUCUGGCCUUGUCCUCCUAAGUGCAGUAUACCGAGGGUCCUUGGAGAGAGGGGAGGUGAUGGAUGCAGAGAUUUGAAGGAGAUAGAGGGAAAGUUGUAGCUGGGUUCCCCCUGGGUUCGUGAAUUGGUGUUUUGUUUUGAAAACCCAGAUACUUUCACCCUCCUGAGACCUGCUGUUUUUAUGAAAAGCCUUGUUUUCAUCCAAAUGCCUCUAAUAACAAGACUACAGGUGAGAGGAAAUCCCGGGGUACAAGCAGGGCCACAGGAACCCCUCUAAGAAGAGAGGAAGGUUUUGGGAACCCAACCUUGACCUGCACAGGCAGAUCUGCUGUUGGAGCAAUUUGUCUUUAUGUGAACUUACAUGUGUACUGGAUUGUAAAGACAACUGAAUAAAUUUAAUGCAUUUCAUGACUCAUUUGCCAGCACUUCUGAGAUACCUGAAUCUACACACUCCGUCCUUUGUUAUUGAGCAAUAAAUAGAGAGACUGAGUAACCUACAAGGAAGAUUCAUUCAAGGUUUAAUCCAAGAAAGGGAUCCAAGACCAGGAAGUGAGCAGAGUACUGUUGCUUUAUAAUCCAGAAAGAAAAUACGGAUCAAGAGCUCAGCCUUGUCCGUGAGUGAAAUUAGUCUAAAGAAUGUGAGAUCUGUAAUUAUGAAACUGACUGAAAUACAGAUUAUUAAAAAAAAUACAGGUCUUCAGUGCCUCAACAGACUCUCCUAUGGAAACUCAUGGAAAACAGAUUGUAUUUCCUGCUUAUACCAAACCAUUUAUAUUUGGUGUCAAUUGCGCCAGGGAUCCAAACUACUCAUUUCUGUCUGUAGCAUACUCUCAGUAAAAAUUGAA